RNAcentral lists this long non-coding RNA (60 nucleotides) under Pan troglodytes (chimpanzee). RNAcentral's name for it is "lincRNA". Lineage: Eukaryota; Metazoa; Chordata; Mammalia; Primates; Hominidae. The record is from RNAcentral.
GCUCACGCCUGACCAGAGCACCUGCUUCACAGGGGGCGUUCCGCGCGUCCUUCCUCCCUG